This 442-nucleotide ribosomal RNA is filed under the name uncultured bacterium. Its description in RNAcentral is "partial 16S ribosomal RNA". It matches the Rfam family "Bacterial small subunit ribosomal RNA", at positions 338 to 795 of the family's 1533-position model. The record is from RNAcentral.
CCUACGGGUGGCAGCAGUGGGGAAUAUUGGGCAAUGGGCGAAAGCCUGACCCAGCGACGCCGCGUGAAGGAAGAAGGCUUUCGGGUUGUAAACCUCUUUUAGCAGGGAAGAGCAGAUGACGGUACCUGUCGAAUAAGCCACGGCUAACUACGUGCCAGCAGCCGCGGUAAUACGUAGGUGGCAAGCGUUAUCCGGAUUUACUGGGUGUAAAGGGCGGGUAGCCGGUAAGACAAGUCAGAUGUGAAAUCCGGGGGCUCAACCCCCGGACUGCAUUUGAAACUGUUGGUCUUGAGUAUCGGAGAGGUAGGCGGAAUUCCUAGUGUAGCGGUGAAAUGCGUAGAUAUUAGGAGGAACACCAGUGGCGAAGGCGGCCUACUGGACGGCAACUGACGGUGAGGCGCGAAAGCGUGGGGAGCAAACAGGAUUAGAUACCCCAGUAGUC